UAGUCCAUAACCACAAGAGUCCAGAACU
Molecule: non-coding RNA, 28 nt
Filed under: Rattus norvegicus (Norway rat)
Lineage: Eukaryota; Metazoa; Chordata; Mammalia; Rodentia; Muridae
Source: RNAcentral